RNAcentral lists this long non-coding RNA (512 nucleotides) under Medicago truncatula (barrel medic). Its description in RNAcentral is "long non-coding RNA (MTRU_LNC000957)". Lineage: Eukaryota; Viridiplantae; Streptophyta; Magnoliopsida; Fabales; Fabaceae. The record is from RNAcentral.
AUCAACACCAAAACCACCUCAUCAUCCCAAACCCCCAGCAGUACACCCACCACAUGUUCCAAAACCACAUCCACCUUAUGUUCCAAAACCACCAAUUGUUAAACCUCCAAUAGUACAUCCACCUUACGUACCAAAACCCCCAGUUGUGAAACCACCACCAUAUGUCCCUAAACCACCUGUUGUGAGACCACCCUAUGUUCCUAAACCACCAGUUGUACCUGUAACACCACCUUAUGUUCCUAAGCCACCAAUUGUUUUCCCACCACAUGUUCCUCUACCUCCAGUUGUACCAUCACCACCACCUUAUGUACCAACACCUCCAAUUGUGAAACCACCAAUUGUUUUUCCACCACAUGUUCCUCUACCUCCAGUUGUGCCUGUAACACCACCUUAUGUGCAACCACCACCUAUUGUAACUCCACCAACACCAACACCUCCAAUUGUGACACCACCAACACCACCUAGUGAAACACCUUGUCCUCCACCACCACUUGUACCUUAUCCACCACCAC